This 68-nucleotide transfer RNA is filed under the name Paraplagusia japonica (black cow-tongue). RNAcentral's name for it is "tRNA-His". It matches the Rfam family "tRNA". Rfam says of the family: Transfer RNA (tRNA) molecules are approximately 80 nucleotides in length. Their secondary structure includes four short double-helical elements and three loops (D, anti-codon, and T loops). Further hydrogen bonds mediate the characteristic L-shaped molecular structure. tRNAs have two regions of fundamental functional importance: the anti-codon, which is responsible for specific mRNA codon recognition, and the 3' end, to which the tRNAs corresponding amino acid is attached (by aminoacyl-tRNA synthetases). tRNAs cope with the degeneracy of the genetic code in two manners: having more than one tRNA (with a specific anti-codon) for a particular amino acid; and 'wobble' base-pairing, i.e. permitting non-standard base-pairing at the 3rd anti-codon position. Lineage: Eukaryota; Metazoa; Chordata; Actinopteri; Pleuronectiformes; Cynoglossidae. The record is from RNAcentral.
GUAGAAAUAGUUUAACCAAGACAUUAGACCGUGACUCUAAAGAUAAAGAGUAAAAUCUUUUUUCUACC